GUCCACGCCGUAAACUAUGAAUGCUAGCUAUUGGCGAUACACAGUCAGUGGCACAGAGAAAUCGUUAAGCAUUCCACCUGGGGAGUACGCCGGCAACGGUGAAACUCAAAGGAAUUGACGGGGGCCCGCACAAGCGGAGGAACAUGUGGUUUAAUUCGAUGAUACGCGAGGAACCUUACCCGGGUUUGAACGCAGGGGGAAUAUGGUGGAAACAUUAUAGCUAGCAAUAGCCGCCUGCGAGGUGCUGCAUGGUUGUCGU
RNAcentral lists this ribosomal RNA (259 nucleotides) under uncultured bacterium. RNAcentral describes it as "partial 16S ribosomal RNA". It matches the Rfam family "Bacterial small subunit ribosomal RNA", at positions 793 to 1055 of the family's 1533-position model. The record is from RNAcentral.